RNAcentral lists this small RNA (535 nucleotides) under Pan troglodytes (chimpanzee). RNAcentral describes it as "processed transcript". Lineage: Eukaryota; Metazoa; Chordata; Mammalia; Primates; Hominidae. The record is from RNAcentral.
GGUGGCCGAAUGCUUACUCUAAUGGGCUGGCCCAUCCCUGAGUGUCUAGAGUUCCCAGCCCGCUUAAGGAAGGAAGGAAAACACAGGCAGCUCUAAGUGUACGACGAGAGAGGUCUCAUCGGCAGUGAGGAAGCCCAGGCGGGUCCCCUUCCCACCUGAAAGGGGUUCGGAAUUUCACUCUGUCGCCAGGCUGGAAUGCAGUAGGGCAAUCUCGGCUCACUGCAACCUCCACCUCCCGAGUUCAAGUGAUGCUCCUGCUUCAGCCUCCUGAGUAGCUGGGACUACAGCGGUGUCUGCUCCUGGCACCUCAGGCACUGUCAGGGGUAGGAGGUGGUGAUCAGAUACGCUCACUGUGAGCAGUGCAAGGGGAAGCAGGUGCCCAGAGGUGCAUCCCGGUUUGGUGGGGGUGACAAACAUGGACAGGUAAGUGCAGGAGUGUGUGCAAUACUCAAUCUAAGAAAGGUAGUUCAGGCAGAGUUCAGGGAAGAUAUCUCUGUGCAGGCCCAGACAUGGGGAUGAGAUUCUGAUAAUUUGG